RNAcentral lists this ribosomal RNA (301 nucleotides) under uncultured bacterium. RNAcentral describes it as "partial 16S ribosomal RNA". It matches the Rfam family "Bacterial small subunit ribosomal RNA", at positions 509 to 808 of the family's 1533-position model. The record is from RNAcentral.
CAGUCGCCACGGUAAUACGUAGGUCCCGAGCGUUGUCCGGAUUUAUUGGGCGUAAAGCGAGCGCAGGCGGUUAGAUAAGUCUGAAGUUAAAGGCUGUGGCUUAACCAUAGUACGCUUUGGAAACUGUUUAACUUGAGUGCAGAAGGGGAGAGUGGAAUUCCAUGUGUAGCGGUGAAAUGCGUAGAUAUAUGGAGGAACACCGGUGGCGAAAGCGGCUCUCUGGCUUGUAACUGACGCUGAGGCUCGAAAGCGUGGGGCGCAAACAGGAUUAGAUACCCCCGUAGUCCCUGUCUCUUAUACC